Long non-coding RNA from Microtus ochrogaster (prairie vole), 1152 nucleotides. RefSeq lists it as uncharacterized. Lineage: Eukaryota; Metazoa; Chordata; Mammalia; Rodentia; Cricetidae. The record is from RefSeq and is a predicted model, not a curated record.
ACAGGGCGCGAAAUCGGCUGAAUGUUGCAAACCAAGCUGGGACAAAAGAUUUAAACCCUUGCCUCGUACCUUCUUUUGUAGCUCACUGAUUCGGAGGUGACACAGGAGCUUUUGGUGUGACUUGGCUCAAUGCAUGUGAUGCCACAGGAGCUUGAUCGAGGAUUUCCCGGAAUCUUAAUUUAGCGAAUCUUUUUCUGAAAACGUUUUGCCUCGAUGAGGGAGUUAGUUCAUGAAAGAAGGGAUCGUGUUAAGGGUGGUGUCUGGAAGAGAUGUGUGGCGUUGGAAGGUGAUAUGAAAUACACAGGAAAGGAAAGAAAAGGAUGUUUUGCUUAAGAGUGCCAUUUGCAAAUUUAUUCAGUAAUUUGAAGAUUUAUAUAAGGGCCUGUUCAGAAAGGGGCAUUUGUCCCGCUCUAAGAAAGUGCUCUUCACACAAGCCUGAUGGCCUGAACUAAUUCCUGGAACCCACGUGGUGGAAGAGAGCGGACUCCUGAAAGUUAUCUUCAGAUCACAUAUACACAAUAAGAAAAUGUAAAUUUUAAAAAUCAAAAUAGUAAUCAGAACAUUAGAAUGCUGUUUUAGUGAAAUUUUUAGUGAAAUGUAAACGUGAUACAAGUGAUUAUGGAACAUCUGGAUGCUUUGUAUAGUUUUGUACAAAACUUUAACCUUUUCCAAAAUGAGAAAGGGAUUAAAAUUGUCAAAGGAAUUGAAGUCUGUAAAUUUUUUUCUUUUGCAAAGAAAGUUAUUUGUAGUGGUAUUUUGCAGUGCCCUCCGAUCAGAUAGAGCUGGAGUUAGAGUGGUGAGCUGCCUGGGGUGGGUGCUGUAAGCUGAACUCUCUGGAAGAGUGAGUACUGAGUCAUCUCUCCCACCCAACUUUUUGUGGCUAUGAAUGUGAAAUCUUUUGCAUUCUAGAGAAAAAGCAAGAGUAAGAGGUGCCAUGUUGGAAUAUUAUGGCUGCCAAUCAAAAUGAAUUGUUGCUUCCUGAUAGAGGGCUAGUCACUAUUCAGAAGUGUCCCUGUUUAAACAUUUCAGAAGUUGUGCCAAAUGAGGGUAGCUACAAUAAAAGCCAGCUUGUUCUUGCAGAUCCGAUUGUGCCGCUGUCUGGCCUGUGUUUCAUUUGUAGUAUACAAUAAACAUUAUUUUAACUGUUCUGAC